RNAcentral lists this transfer RNA (67 nucleotides) under Marmota monax (woodchuck). Its description in RNAcentral is "tRNA.Ala". Lineage: Eukaryota; Metazoa; Chordata; Mammalia; Rodentia; Sciuridae. The record is from RNAcentral.
GGAUUGUGGCUCAGUGGUAGAGCACUCGCUUAGCACGAGUGGUACCCGGGUUAGAUUCUCAGCACCA